UGGAAUAUUGGACAAUGGGGGCAACCUCGUUCCACACACGCGGCGUGCAGGAGAAGGCCCCUAUGUGUUGUAAAAUGUUUUUGCACAGGAAAAAACGCCCCCCUGCGUGCGGGUUUGACGGUACCGUGAGAAUAAAAAUAUGCUAACUCAGUGCCAGCACCCGCGGUAAUAUAGAGGGUACGAGCGUGAUCUCGAAUCAUUUUGUUUAAAGAGUCCGUGGGCGGGGGGGUAAGUCAGUGGGGAAAGUAUGUACCUCACUUAUCUAAUUGCCGUCGAAAUAGAUUUUCUUGAGUUGUUGUGAAAUGGCCGGAAUAUGUAGUGUGGCGGUGAAAUGCAUAGAUAUUUCAUAGAACACACAUUGGGAGGGCAGGCGGCUAACGACACACAGACGCUGAUGGACGCAAGAGUGGGUGGGGAGCACACUUAGAUACCCCCCUAGUCCACGCCCUAAACGAAAGUCACUAGCUGUCCGUCCCCACAAGUUGGCUGGGGUCCAAGCGAAAGUGAUAAG
Molecule: ribosomal RNA, 511 nt
Filed under: uncultured bacterium
Lineage: Bacteria
Description: partial 16S ribosomal RNA
Rfam family: Bacterial small subunit ribosomal RNA
Source: RNAcentral